RNAcentral lists this ribosomal RNA (440 nucleotides) under uncultured bacterium. RNAcentral describes it as "partial 16S ribosomal RNA". It matches the Rfam family "Bacterial small subunit ribosomal RNA", at positions 338 to 795 of the family's 1533-position model. The record is from RNAcentral.
CCUACGGGAGGCAGCAGUGGGGAAUAUUGCACAAUGGGGGGAACCCUGAUGCAGCGACGCCGCGUGGGUGAAGGAGUACUUCGGUAUGUAAAGCCCUUUCAGCAGGAAAGAAAAUGACGGUACCUGACUAAGAAGCCCCGGCUAACUACGUGCCAGCAGCCGAGGUAAUACGUAGGGGGCAAGCGUUAUCCGGAUUUACUGGGCGUAAAGGGAGUGUAGGCGGGUGGGGAAGUCCGGUGUGAAAGCCCGGAGCUUAACCCUGGAACUGCCGUGGAAACUGUAAAGCUGGAGUGAGGGAGAGGCAGGCGGAAUUCGUGGUGUAGCGGUGAAAUGCGUAGAUAUCAGGCAGAACACCGGCGGCGAAGGCGGCCUGCUGGACCGUAACUGACGUUGAGGCUCGAAAGCGUGGGGAGCAAACAGGAUUAGAUACCCGUGUAGUC